CCUACGGGAGGCAGCAGUGGGGAAUAUUGCACAAUGGGGGAAACCCUGAUGCAGCGACGCCGCGUGAGUGAAGAAGUAAUUCGUUAUGUAAAGCUCUAUCAGCAGGGAAGAAAAUGACGGUACCUGAGUAAGAAGCCCCGGCUAACUACGUGCCAGCAGCCGCGGUAAUACGUAGGGGGCAAGCGUUAUCCGGAUUUACUGGGUGUAAAGGGAGCGUAGACGGCAGUGCAAGUCUGGAGUGAAAGGCGGGGGCUCAACCCGCGGACUGCGCUGGAAACUGUACGGCUGGAGUGCAGGAGAGGUAAGUGGAAUUCCUAGUGUAGCGGUGAAAUGCGUAGAUAUUAGGAGGAACACCAGUGGCGAAGGCAGCUUACUGGACUGUAACUGACGUUGAGGCUCGAAAGCGUGGGGAGCGAACAGGAUUAGAUACCCUAGUAGUC
Molecule: ribosomal RNA, 440 nt
Filed under: uncultured bacterium
Lineage: Bacteria
Description: partial 16S ribosomal RNA
Rfam family: Bacterial small subunit ribosomal RNA
Source: RNAcentral